This 277-nucleotide non-coding RNA is filed under the name Paenibacillus sp. RNAcentral describes it as "T-box sequence". It matches the Rfam family "T-box leader". From Rfam's summary of the family: Uncharged tRNA acts as the effector for transcription antitermination of genes in the T-box leader family. T-boxes are found upstream of many aminoacyl-tRNA synthetase genes and some amino acid biosynthetic genes usually in Gram-positive bacteria. Lineage: Bacteria; Bacillati; Bacillota; Bacilli; Caryophanales; Paenibacillaceae. The record is from RNAcentral.
AAAAAAGCUGUGAAGGACUCCAGUAGGAGGCGGAUAACACAUAGUCAGAGAGCCGGUGGGUGGUGUGAACCGGUAUGUGCCGCUUGUCGAAUUACCGUCCGGAGCUGUCCAGAUGAACAGGAAUAGCAGGUUGAAAUUACCAUGAGCUAUUGCAGGAUUAGUCUGGUACCGGGUUGAAAUCCCGUUAUGUCAAUGAAGUGGAAGUGCCUAUCUUUUUAUUUGUAGAGCAGGCACUUUAAUUAGGGUGGUAACGCGAGCGCUCCUUCUCGUCCCUUGG